RNAcentral lists this ribosomal RNA (468 nucleotides) under uncultured bacterium. RNAcentral's name for it is "partial 16S ribosomal RNA". It matches the Rfam family "Bacterial small subunit ribosomal RNA", at positions 28 to 507 of the family's 1533-position model. The record is from RNAcentral.
GACGAACGCUGGCGGCGUUCUUAACACAUUCAAGUCGAACGGAGAUGCCCUUCUUUUUUGGGGUGCUCGAGUGGCGAACGGUUUAGUAACACGUGGUUAACCUGCCCUUGACUUUGGUAUAACUUCAGGAAACUGGUGCUAAUACCGGAUGGGAACUCCUGCUGCAUGGUGGGGGUUGGAAAUUUUCGGCGGUUGGGGAUGGACUCGAGGCUUAUCAGCUUGUUGGUGGGGUAGUGGCUUACAAAGGCUUUGACGGGUAGCCGGCCUGAGAGGGUGACCGGCCACAUUGGGACUGAGAUACGGCCCAGACGCCUACGGGAGGCAGCAGUGGGGACUAUUGCACAAUGGGCGGAAGCCUGAUGCAGUAACGCCGCGUGCGGGAUGACGGCCUUCGGGUUGUAAACCGCUUUCGCCUGUGACGAAGCGUGAGUGACGGUAAUGGGUAAAGAAGCACCGGCUAACUACGUG